Molecule: ribosomal RNA, 243 nt
Filed under: uncultured Actinomycetales bacterium
Lineage: Bacteria; Bacillati; Actinomycetota; Actinomycetes; Actinomycetales
Description: partial 16S ribosomal RNA
Rfam family: Bacterial small subunit ribosomal RNA
Source: RNAcentral
UACUCGAGUGGCGAACUGGUGAGUAACACGUGGGUGAUCUGCCCUGCACUUCGGGAUAAGCUUGGGAAACUGGGUCUAAUACCGGAUAGGAGCCAUCUUUAGUGUGGUGGUUGGAAAGUUUUUUCGGUGUAGGAUGAGCUCGCGGCCUAUCAGCUUGUUGGCGGGGUAAUGGCCUACCAAGGCGGCGACGGGUAGCCGGCCUGAGAGGGUGUACGGCCACAUUGGGACUGAGAUACGGCCCAG